AUUGGGACCGCUAAUGCCUAAAGGCGCAAUGAAAGUGAAGGUCGCGCCAAUUUAAAAAGGUCGACCGAGGGAGGAUGGGCCGCGUUUGCGCGCGGCUCCGCACUCCCGGGGCGUCUCGUUCUCAUUGCGAGAAGAGGCGCACCCAGAGCGUACACGUUGGGACCCGAAAGAUGGUGAACUAUGCCUGGUCAGGACGAAGUCAGGGGAAACCCUGAUGGAGGUCCGUAGCGAUUCUGACGUGCAAAUCGAUCGUCGGAACUGGGUAUAGGGGCGAAAGACUAAUCGAACCAUCUAGUAGCUGGUUCCCUCCGAAGUUUCCCUCAGGAUAGCUGGCACUCGUUCGUUUCUAAUUGAACGUUAAAGGAGUCUCAUCUGGUAAAGCGAAUGAUUAGAGGCCUUGGGGCCGAAACGACCUCAACCUAUUCUCAAACUUUAAAUGGGUGAGAUCUCUGGCUUGCUUGAAAUAUGAAGCCACGAGAGAGAUAUUAUAUCGGAUCAGAGUGCCAAGUGGGCCAAUUUU
This 520-nucleotide ribosomal RNA is filed under the name Protopolybia emortualis. Its description in RNAcentral is "eukaryotic LSU rRNA". It matches the Rfam family "Eukaryotic large subunit ribosomal RNA", at positions 693 to 1138 of the family's 3401-position model. The record is from RNAcentral. Lineage: Eukaryota; Metazoa; Arthropoda; Insecta; Hymenoptera; Vespidae.